Molecule: long non-coding RNA, 718 nt
Organism: Argiope bruennichi
Lineage: Eukaryota; Metazoa; Arthropoda; Arachnida; Araneae; Araneidae
Exons: 2
Source: RefSeq, a predicted model, not a curated record
UUACUACUCUGUUCAAGGUUUUGACCUUUCAAAUGUUCUGAUCUUUCUACUAAUACAAAGAAAGUAUCUGCUUUUACCUGCAAUGUAAAUUUAUUUUUAAAAUGUAUAAUCUAUUCAAAACCACCUACAACUUGUCAUGAAAAUAGCAACCUCCUACGUGCAUGGCAACGGUUAAAAUCAACAGUAACUUUUUUUUUUUUUUCAAUUAUUUUCUUUCAGAACAACCAGAUGUUCGGCGUUCUUCAAAUCAGCAAGAAUAUCGUCUGCCGUAAUCAGUCAUAUCUCUUUUCAAGAGCACUCCAUUUAGGAAGACAGGAAGAAAAAGAAAAACAAAGAGAAAGAGACAAAGGGGAGAGAAGAUAUUUGGACGUCUUGUGUGAGGUGAAUACAGAUAUUAACUUUGUUCCUCUUGGCAGGUAGCCGGCUCUUUAAAUUUGCCAACUUCGCUUGUCGGAAGUUGGUUUCGUUUACCUCCUAAUUCUCGGGAAGAAGAUGUUGAACAACUCAUCUCUAUCCGUCUGGGUUGGAUACUAGUUCUACCUUCACAAGGACAAAAAAGAAGAAGAAAAAAUAAUGGCUACAGAAAAGACGAUAUUUAUCGUGAUUAUGUGUUUCCGUACCUUUCAGAAAUGUCAAAAAGCAUCUGAUACGAGGUUGAUGUCGAAAUGCUGUGAUGCUGUGGGAGCUUCUAGAAAAUCGUUUCCGUAAUAAUAAUAAU